GUAGAUGGCAGCACAUACACUAAAAUUGAAACAAUAUAGAGAAGAUCAGCAUGAUCCCUACACAUGGGUGACACACAAAUUUGUGAGGAGUUCUAUAUUUCU
Pongo abelii (Sumatran orangutan) is the source of this 102-nucleotide small nuclear RNA. The record is from Ensembl. Lineage: Eukaryota; Metazoa; Chordata; Mammalia; Primates; Hominidae.